AUUGAACGCUGGCGGCAUGCUUUACACAUGCAAGUCGAACGGUAACAGGCCGCAAGGUGCUGACGAGUGGCGAACGGGUGAGUAAUGCAUCGGAACGUGCCCAGUCGUGGGGGAUAACUACUCGAAAGAGUAGCUAAUACCGCAUACGAUCUAUGGAUGAAAGCGGGUGACCGUAAGGCCUCGCGCGAUUGGAGCGGCCGAUGUCAGAUUAGGUAGUUGGUGGGGUAAAGGCUCACCAAGCCAACGAUCUGUAGCUGGUCUGAGAGGACGACCAGCCACACUGGGACUGAGACACGGCCCAGACUCCUACGGGAGGCAGCAGUGGGGAAUUUUGGACAAUGGGCGCAAGCCUGAUCCAGCAAUGCCGCGUGCAGGAAGAAGGCCUUCGGGUUGUAAACUGCUUUUGUACGGAACGAAACGGCUCUGGUUAAUACCCGGGGCUAAUGACGGUACCGUAAGAAUGAGCACCGGCUAACUACGUG
This 482-nucleotide ribosomal RNA is filed under the name uncultured bacterium. RNAcentral describes it as "partial 16S ribosomal RNA". It matches the Rfam family "Bacterial small subunit ribosomal RNA", at positions 30 to 507 of the family's 1533-position model. The record is from RNAcentral.